Molecule: ribosomal RNA, 468 nt
Filed under: uncultured bacterium
Lineage: Bacteria
Description: partial 16S ribosomal RNA
Rfam family: Bacterial small subunit ribosomal RNA
Source: RNAcentral
GACGAACGCUGGCGGCGUGCUUAACACAUGCAAGUCGAACGGAAAGGCCCUGCUUUUGUGGGGUGCUCGAGUGGCGAACGGGUGAGUAACACGUGAGUAACCUGCCCUUGACUUUGGGAUAACUUCAGGAAACUGGGGCUAAUACCGGAUAGGAGCUCCUGCUGCAUGGUGGGGGUUGGAAAGUUUCGGCGGUUGGGGAUGGACUCGCGGCUGAUCAGCUUGUUGGUGGGGUAGUGGCUUACCAAGGCUUUGACGGGUAGCCGGCGUGGGGGGGUGACCGGCACCAUUGGUCGAGAACUGCGGCCGACCCUCCACCGGGGGCGGGAGGGGGGAAUUUUGCCAGAGGGGCGGGAGCCGGUAGCCCGCACCCCCGGGGGGGGAGGGCCGUCUUUCGGUUUGCACCCCUCUUCCCCUGGUAACGAGGGGGGAGUGAGGGUAGUGGAAAAAAAAGCCCCGACUAACUCCGUC